GCCUGGGUAGCUCAGUGGUAGAGCACUUUCUUGGUAAGAAAGGGGUCGUGGGUUCAAUCCCCACCUCAGGCUCAA
RNAcentral lists this transfer RNA (75 nucleotides) under Candidatus Woesebacteria bacterium RIFCSPHIGHO2_01_FULL_39_28. RNAcentral's name for it is "tRNA-Thr". It matches the Rfam family "tRNA". From Rfam's summary of the family: Transfer RNA (tRNA) molecules are approximately 80 nucleotides in length. Their secondary structure includes four short double-helical elements and three loops (D, anti-codon, and T loops). RNAcentral also lists the same sequence under 2 other names. The record is from RNAcentral. Lineage: Bacteria; Candidatus Woeseibacteriota.